UACGGAGGGUGCAAGCGUUGUCCGGAAUCACUGGGCGUAAAGGGCGCGUAGGCGGCUCCCUAAGUCACUUGUGAAAUCCUGGGGCUCAACUCCAGGGCUGCAGGUGAGACUGGAGGGCUAGAGCUCGGUAGAGGCGAGUGGAAUUCCCGGUGUAGCGGUGGAAUGCGUAGAUAUCGGGAAGAACACCGGUGGCGAAGGCGGCUCGCUGGGCCGAUGCUGACGCUGAGGGCGCGAAAGCGUGGGGAGCAAA
RNAcentral lists this ribosomal RNA (250 nucleotides) under uncultured bacterium. Its description in RNAcentral is "partial 16S ribosomal RNA". It matches the Rfam family "Bacterial small subunit ribosomal RNA", at positions 524 to 772 of the family's 1533-position model. The record is from RNAcentral.